Molecule: ribosomal RNA, 468 nt
Filed under: uncultured bacterium
Lineage: Bacteria
Description: partial 16S ribosomal RNA
Rfam family: Bacterial small subunit ribosomal RNA
Source: RNAcentral
GACGAACGCUGGCGGCGUGCUUAACACAUGCAAGUCGAACGGAAAGGCCCUUCUUCUGUGGGGUGCUCGAGUGGCGAACGGGUGAGUAACCCGUGAGUAACCUGCCCUUGACUUUGGGAUAACUUCAGGAAACUGGGGCUAAUACCGGAUAGGAGCUCAUGCUGCAUGGUGGGGGUUGGAAAGUUUCGGCGGUGGGGGAUGGACUCGCGGCUUAUCAGCCUGUUGGUGGGGUAGUGGCUUACCAAGUCUUUGACGGGUAGCCGGCCUGAGAGGGUGACCGGCCACAUUGGGACGGAGAUACGGCCCAGACUCCUACGGGAGGCAGCAGUGGGGAAGAUUGCACAAUGGGCGGAAGCCUGAUGCAGCAACGCCGCGUGCGGGAUGACGGCCUUCGGGUUGUAGACCGCUUUCGCCUGUGACGAAGCGUGAGUGACGGUAAUGGGUAAAGAAGCACCGGCUAACUACGUG